RNAcentral lists this ribosomal RNA (520 nucleotides) under uncultured Glomus. RNAcentral's name for it is "SSU rRNA". It matches the Rfam family "Eukaryotic small subunit ribosomal RNA", at positions 569 to 1091 of the family's 1831-position model. Lineage: Eukaryota; Fungi; Glomeromycota; Glomeromycetes; Glomerales; Glomeraceae. The record is from RNAcentral.
AGCAGCCGCGGUAAUUCCAGCUCCAAUAGCGUAUAUUAAAGUUGUUGCAGUUAAAAAGCUCGUAGUUGAAUUUCGGGGUUAGUAGGUUGGUCAUGCCUCUGGUAUGUACUAAUCUCACUGAUUCCUCCCUCUUGACGAACUGUAAUGUCAUUAAUUUGGUGUUGCAGGAAAUCAGGACUGUUACUUUGAAAAAUUAGAGUGUUUAAAGCAGGCUUAGGCUUGAAUACAUUAGCAUGGAAUAAUGAAAUAGGACGUUUGAACCUAUUUUGUUGGUUUCUAGGAUCGACGUAAUGAUUAAUAGGGAUAGUUGGGGGCAUUAGUAUUCAAUUGUCAGAGGUGAAAUUCUUGGAUUUAUUGAAGACUAACUACUGCGAAAGCAUUUGCCAAGGAUGUUUUCAUUAAUCAAGAACGAAAGUUAGGGGAUCGAAGACGAUCAGAUACCGUCGUAGUCUUAACCAUAAACUAUGCCGACUAGGGAUCGGAUGAUGUUAAUUUUUUAAUGACUCAUUCGGCGCCUUAC